This 190-nucleotide ribosomal RNA is filed under the name uncultured beta proteobacterium. Its description in RNAcentral is "partial 16S ribosomal RNA". It matches the Rfam family "Bacterial small subunit ribosomal RNA", at positions 340 to 525 of the family's 1533-position model. The record is from RNAcentral. Lineage: Bacteria; Pseudomonadati; Pseudomonadota; Betaproteobacteria.
UACGGGAGGCAGCAGUAGGGAAUUUUGGACAAUGGGGGCAACCUGAUCCAGCAAUGCCGCGUGGUGAAGAAGGCCUUCGGGUUGUAAAGCUACUUUUGUCAGGAACGAAACGGUGGGAGAUAAUACCUCUGUAAUGACGGUACCUGAAGAGUAAGCACCGGCUAACUACGUGCCAGCAGCCGCGGUAAUA